RNAcentral lists this ribosomal RNA (324 nucleotides) under uncultured eukaryote. Its description in RNAcentral is "partial 18S ribosomal RNA". It matches the Rfam family "Eukaryotic small subunit ribosomal RNA", at positions 1470 to 1796 of the family's 1831-position model. The record is from RNAcentral.
CCCUUAGAUGUUCUGGGCCGCACGCGCGCUACACUGAUGCAUUCAACGAGUUUCUUCCUGGUCCGAGAGGAAUGGGUAACCUUUUGAAAGUGCAUCGUGAUAGGGAUAGACUAUUGCAAUUAUUGGUCUUCAACGAGGAAUUCCUAGUAGACGUAGUUCAUCAGACUGCAUCGAUUACGUCCCUGCCCUUUGCACACACCGCCCGUCGCUCCUACCGAUUGAAUGCUCAGGUGAGCCAUUCGGACUUUCAUCAUGCUGGUUUCCAGUUUUGAUGAAGGAAAGUCUUGCGAACCUUAUCAUUUAGAGGAAGGAGAAGUCGUAACA